ACGUAGGGGGCAAGCGUUAUCCGGAAUUACUGGGUGUAAAGGGAGCGUAGGCGGCAUGGUAAGCCAGAUGUGAAAGCCCGGAGCUUAACUCCGAGGAUUGCAUUUGGAACUAUCAAGCUAGAGUACAGGAGAGGAAAGCGGAAUUCCUAGUGUAGCGGUGAAAUGCGUAGAUAUUAGGAAGAACACCAGUGGCGAAGGCGGCUUUCUGGACUGAAACUGACGCUGAGGCUCGAAAGCGUGGGGAGCAAACAG
Molecule: ribosomal RNA, 252 nt
Filed under: uncultured bacterium
Lineage: Bacteria
Description: partial 16S ribosomal RNA
Rfam family: Bacterial small subunit ribosomal RNA
Source: RNAcentral